GACGAACGCUGGCGGCGUGCUUAACACAUGCAAGUCGAACGGAAAGGCCCUGCUUUUGUGGGGUGCUCGAGUGGCGAACGGGUGAGUAACACGUGAGUAACCUGCCCUUGACUUUGGGAUAACUUCAGGAAACUGGGGCUAAUACCGGAUAGGAGCUCCUGCUGCAUGGUGGGGGUUGGAACGUUUCGGCGGUUGGGGAUGGACUCGCGGCUUAUCAGCUUGUUGGUGGGGUAGUGGCUUACCAAGGCUUUGACGGGUAGCCGGCCUGAGAGGGUGACCGGCCACAUUGGGACUGAGAUACGGCCCAGACGCCUACGGGAGGCAGCAGUGGGGAAUAUUGCACAAUGGGCGGAAGCCUGAUGCAGCAACGCCGCGUGCGGGAUGACGGCCUUCGGGUUGUAAACCGCUUUCGCCUGUGACGAAGCGUGAGUGACGGUAAUGGGUAAAGAAGCACCGGCUAACUACGUG
This 468-nucleotide ribosomal RNA is filed under the name uncultured bacterium. RNAcentral describes it as "partial 16S ribosomal RNA". It matches the Rfam family "Bacterial small subunit ribosomal RNA", at positions 28 to 507 of the family's 1533-position model. The record is from RNAcentral.